This is an RNA transcript of Juglans microcarpa x Juglans regia, 1396 nucleotides long. It is a transcript of the gene named O-methyltransferase MdmC-like, with no coding region annotated. The record is from RefSeq and is a predicted model, not a curated record. The transcript has 10 exons. NCBI's taxonomy places the organism in Eukaryota, Viridiplantae, Streptophyta, Magnoliopsida, Fagales, Juglandaceae.
GCUUAAGAACUGGAACAUACUAGCUUUUUACUUGCGGAUAUGACUGCGAACGUAAAGGUGGAGUACGCCAUUAAAAUCUACCGAAUUUGAUGGUUUAUGUCACUUUUUUUUACCAACCACUCCUGCCACCUGUUUUGAGCUCUUCCUCCUCUUUAGUGUAUUAUAAAUAGCUCUAGAACUUGAGCAACCUUCCAACUGUAUGUUCAUUCAUUUGUAGUAGAUACCCAUUUGUCAUAAAUUUCAGCUAGUCGGUUCAGCUGUUGUUGUUAGACGUUAUCUUGUCUUGCCUUUAGUUCAUUCAUGAAUGGCCAGCAGCAGCAGCUUGGUGCUUCAUCGUUGUUGGUCUUUGUUAUCCUCUCAACAUCUAGCUUGCCCACGGAGAUCUCCAAGACUAAUGCUAAACUUCCAUCCAGUAUCUGCAAUUACUGCUGUUGUUACUUCUUCAACAGUCAAGGCCUCCUCCGAGAGGUGCAGUAGUGGUCGCCUUGGCUUACGGACAUGCAACAGUAAGUCAAACCAGUUCUUAAGAAGAUGCUCCACCAAUGCAUUUGUUGUUGUUAAUGAUGAAAAGUACGGCAAUAAGCAGGUUAUUAGUGUUACUCCAUGCCUUUAUGAUUACAUCCUUGCCAACACUCGAGAGCCAGAGAUUCUACGGCAACUUCGAGAGGAGACUGCCUCUAUGCGUGGUUGUCAGAUGCAGGUAUCUCCUGAUCAGGCACAGCUUCUUGCAAUGCUUGUUCAGAUUCUUAAGGCAGAGCGGUGCAUUGAAGUUGGUGUUUAUACUGGAUAUUCAUCAUUGGCAAUUGCAUUGGUCCUCCCAGAAUCAGGUCAUUUAGUUGCCUGCGAAAGAGAUGCCAAGUCUCUUGAGAUUGCAAAGAAGUACUAUGAGCGUGCGGGGGUUUUGCACAAGGUGGAUGUUAGAUAUGGACUUGCUGCUGAUGCACUAAAAUCAAUGAUUCUGAAUGGUGAAGCUUGCAGCUAUGAUUUUGCAUUUGUUGAUGCCGAGAAGAGGAUGAAUCAGGAAUACUUUGAACUGCUUCUACAACUGGUGAGGACUGGGGUCUCAUUGUGAUUGAUAAUGUCCUUUGGCAUGGAAAAGUUGUUGACCCCAUGGUAAAUGAUGCCAAGACAGUUAGUAUCAGGAAUUUCAACAAGCGUCUACUGGAGGACAAGCGUGUAAACAUUAGUAUGGUACCUAUUGGAGAUGGCAUGACCAUAUGCCAAAAAAAGAUGACCUCAUAGCAAAAGCUGAUUUUUUAUUCAUCGACAUGGCUUAUAAUAAUAUCUUCGGUGAUCGAUCAAGUACGAGUAAUGCUACUCAUUAUCUGAAUUUUCAUCAUCUUAUGAUGUGGUAUUAAAUGAUUAUAAACUAUUUAUUAUAUUUCAUUUGUGAACC